GGAGGAGCUUGCUUCUCCGGAUGAGUUGCGAACGGGUGAGUAACGCGUAGGUAACCUGCCUGGUAGCGGGGGAUAACUAUUGGAAACGAUAGCUAAUACCGCAUAAGAGUAGAUGUUGCAUGACAUUUGCUUAAAAGGUGCAAUUGCAUCACUACCAGAUGGACCUGCGUUGUAUUAGCUAGUUGGUGGGGUAACGGCUCACCAAGGCGACGAUACAUAGCCGACCUGAGAGGGUGAUCGGCCACACUGGGACUGAGACACGGCCCAGACUCCUACGGGAGGCAGCAGUAGGGAAUCUUCGGCAAUGGACGGAAGUCUGACCGAGCAACGCCGCGUGAGUGAAGAAGGUUUUCGGAUCGUAAAGCUCUGUUGUAAGAGAAGAACGAGUGUGAGAGUGGAAAGUUCACACUGUGACGUAUCUACCAGAAAGGAC
RNAcentral lists this ribosomal RNA (433 nucleotides) under Streptococcus mitis. RNAcentral describes it as "bacterial SSU rRNA". It matches the Rfam family "Bacterial small subunit ribosomal RNA", at positions 72 to 493 of the family's 1533-position model. Lineage: Bacteria; Bacillati; Bacillota; Bacilli; Lactobacillales; Streptococcaceae. The record is from RNAcentral.